GCCAACAUGGCACAGUGGUUUGGGUGUUGGGACUACGACUCUGAAGACCAGGGUUCGAUUCCCAGCUCAGCCA
Molecule: non-coding RNA, 73 nt
Organism: Phrynosoma platyrhinos (Desert horned lizard)
Lineage: Eukaryota; Metazoa; Chordata; Lepidosauria; Squamata; Phrynosomatidae
Source: the annotation of a GenBank genome assembly